ACAGUUGUAGGGUGGAGGUCAUCACGUAGAGAUUCCUUUGACAGUGUGACCGUGGCCCGGGACGGAGCGCCCCACAGCUUCCGGCUGGAGAAUGACACGCGCUUCCCCAGGUUCUCCCGACUGCGCCCAACAAACCCGAGGUAACAGCUGAAGAAUGACGACACCAAAAUCAACCCUACAGAUUUUCAUUCUGGAGGUCUGCAACACCAAAUAAACUUUUAUGUCUCCGGAGACAGUGGAGUUAGAAAACAAAUAAAACACCCAGAUGGGG
This 271-nucleotide long non-coding RNA is filed under the name Bos taurus (domestic cattle). RNAcentral's name for it is "long non-coding RNA NONBTAT023910". The record is from RNAcentral. Lineage: Eukaryota; Metazoa; Chordata; Mammalia; Artiodactyla; Bovidae.